AGGGUUUUGGAUCCUGGCUCAGGACGAACGCUGGCGGCAGGCUUAACACAUGCAAGUCGAACGAGAAGUUGUCCUCUCGGGGCGAUGGAGAGUGGCGAACGGGUGAGUAACGCGUGGGGAUCUACCCUUCGGUGGGGGACAACCUUGGGAAACUGGGGCUAAUACCGCAUACGCCGGGCCUUUAUGGUUUGGGAAAGAUUUAUUGCCGAAGGCUGGCCCCGCGUCCGAUUAGGUAGUUGGUGAGGUAACGGCUCACCAAGCCCGCGAUCGGUAGCUGGUCUGAGAGGACGAUCAGCCACACUGGGACUGAGACACGGCCCAGACUCCUACGGGCAGGCAGCAGUGUGGGAAUCUUGGACAAUGGGCGCAAGCCUGAUCCAGCCAUGCCGCGUGAGUGAAGAAGGCCUUCGGGUUGUAAACCUCUUUCGCCGGUGAAGAUAGCGACGGUUAGUCGGAGAAGAAGCCCCGGCUAACUCCGUGCCAGCAGUCGCGUUAAUCGGAGGGGGCUAGCGUUGUUCGGAAUUACUGGGCGUAAAGCGCGCGUUAUG
RNAcentral lists this ribosomal RNA (548 nucleotides) under uncultured bacterium. Its description in RNAcentral is "bacterial SSU rRNA". It matches the Rfam family "Bacterial small subunit ribosomal RNA", at positions 8 to 576 of the family's 1533-position model. The record is from RNAcentral.